Molecule: ribosomal RNA, 253 nt
Filed under: uncultured bacterium
Lineage: Bacteria
Description: partial 16S ribosomal RNA
Rfam family: Bacterial small subunit ribosomal RNA
Source: RNAcentral
UACAGAGGUCUCAAGCGUUGUUCGGAUUCAUUGGGCGUAAAGGGUGUGUAGGUGGCGCCGCAAGUCGGGUGUGAAAUCCCACGGCUCAACCGUGGAAGUGCACUCGAAACUGCAGGGCUAGAGUCCUGGAGAGGAAGGUGGAAUGCUUGGUGUAGAGGUGAAAUUCGUAGAUAUCAAGCGGAACACCGGUGGCGAAGGCGGCCUUCUGGACAGUGACUGACGCUGAGACGCGAAAGCGUGGGGAGCAAACAGG